Molecule: ribosomal RNA, 406 nt
Filed under: uncultured bacterium
Lineage: Bacteria
Description: partial 16S ribosomal RNA
Rfam family: Bacterial small subunit ribosomal RNA
Source: RNAcentral
AUUGAACGCUGGCGGCAGGCUUAACACAUGCAAGUCGAACGAGUGGCGGACGGGUGAGUAAUGUCUGGGAAACUGCCUGAUGGAGGGGGAUAACUACUGGAAACGGUAGCUAAUACCGCAUACCAUCAGAUGUGCCCAGAUGGGAUUGGCUAGUAGGUGGGGUAAUGGCUCACCUAGGCGACGAUCCCUAGCUGGUCGGAGGGGAGGACCGGCAAAACUGGAACUGGGACACGGUCCAGACUCCUACGGGGGGAGGCAGUGGGGAAUAUUGCACAAUGGGCGAAGGCCUGAUGCAGCCAUGCCGCGUGUGUGUAGAAGGCCUUCGGGUUGUAAAGUACUUUCAGCGGGGAGGCGUUACUCGCAGAAGAAGCACCGGCUAACUCCGUGCCAGCAGCCGCGGUAAUAC